GAUGAACGCUGGCGGCGUGCCUAAUACAUGCAAGUCGAGGGACAAGGCGAGGAUAUUGCUACUCUUACGGUAGCGGCGGACGGGUGUGUGACACAUGGAUACCACACCUCUUAAACUGGGAUAACUUCGGGAAACCGGAGCAAUUACCGGACAAUAUAUAAAACCGUAUGGUUCAUUUGUUAAUAACGCUUUUGCGGUUCCUUAUGGAUGGAUCCGCGCGUCGUUAGCUAGUUGGUAAGGUAACAGCUUACCAAGGCAACGAGUCGUAGACGACCUGACAGGGUGAUAGGCCACGCCGGAAGUGCAACACGGUCCAGACUCCUACGGUAGGCAGCGGAGGAGUAACGUCCACUAUGGGCGAAAGCCUGACGGAGCAACGCCACGUGGGGUGUGAAGGUCUGCGCAUCGGAGAACUCUGUUAUUUGUGAAGAGGAAGUGUGUAAGUAACUAUGCACGUCUUGACGGUACCCAAUCAGAAAGCAACGGCUAACUACGUG
RNAcentral lists this ribosomal RNA (497 nucleotides) under uncultured bacterium. RNAcentral's name for it is "partial 16S ribosomal RNA". It matches the Rfam family "Bacterial small subunit ribosomal RNA", at positions 28 to 507 of the family's 1533-position model. The record is from RNAcentral.